UCGAACGAGGAGCCCGUAACGGGUGGAUUAGUGGCGAACGGGUGAGUAACACGUGGGCAAUCUGCCCUUCACUCUGGGACAAGCCCUGGAAACGGGGUCUAAUACCGGAUACGACCUGCCGAGGCAUCUCGGUGGGUGGAAAGCUCCGGCGGUGAAGGAUGAGCCCGCGGCCUAUCAGCUUGUUGGUGGGGUAAUGGCCUACCAAGGCGACGACGGGUAGCCGGCCUGAGAGGGCGACCGGCCACACUGGGACUGAGACACGGCCCAGACUCCUACGGGAGGCAGCAGUGGGGAAUAUUGCACAAUGGGCGAAAGCCUGAUGCAGCGACGCCGCGUGAGGGAUGACGGCCUUCGGGUUGUAAACCUCUUUCAGCAGGGAAGAAGCGAAAGUGACGGUACCUGCAAAAGAAGCGCCGGCUAACUACGUGCCAGCAGCCGCGGUAAUACGUAGGGCGCAAGCGUUGUCCGGAAUUAUUGGGCGUAAAGAGCUCGUAGGCGGCUUGUCACGUCGGAUGUGAAAGCCCGGGGCUUAACCCCGGGUCUGCAUUCGAUACGGGCAGGCUAGAGUGUGGUAGGGGAGAUCGGAAUUCCUGGUGUAGCGGUGAAAUGCGCAGAUAUCAGGAGGAACACCGGU
RNAcentral lists this ribosomal RNA (634 nucleotides) under Streptomyces roseoverticillatus. Its description in RNAcentral is "bacterial SSU rRNA". It matches the Rfam family "Bacterial small subunit ribosomal RNA", at positions 62 to 713 of the family's 1533-position model. The record is from RNAcentral. Lineage: Bacteria; Bacillati; Actinomycetota; Actinomycetes; Kitasatosporales; Streptomycetaceae.